CCUACGGGAGGCAGCAGUGGGGAAUAUUGCACAAUGGGCGGAAGCCUGAUGCAGCGACGCCGCGUGAGGGAUGACGGCCUUCGGGUUGUAAACCUCUUUCAGUAGGGAAGAAGCGAGAGUGACGGUACCUGCAGAAGAAGCGCCGGCUAACUACAUGCCAGCAGCCGCGGUAAUACGUAGGGCGCAAGCGUUGUCCGGAAUUAUUGGGCGUAAAGAGCUCGUAGGCGGUUUGUCGCGUCUGCUGUGAAAGCCCGGGGCUCAACCCCGGGUCUGCAGUGGGUACGGGCAGACUAGAGUGCAGUAGGGGAGACUGGAAUUCCUGGUGUAGCGGUGAAAUGCGCAGAUAUCAGGAGGAACACCGAUGGCGAAGGCAGGUCUCUGGGCUGUUACUGACGCUGAGGAGCGAAAGCAUGGGGAGCGAACAGGAUUAGAUACCCUGGUAGUCCAUGCCGUAAACGUUGGGCACUAGGUGUGGGGGACAUUCCACGUUUUCCGCGCCGUANCUAACSCAUUARGUGCCCCGCCUGGGGAGUACGGCCGCAAGGCUAAAACUCAAAUGAAUUGACGGGG
Molecule: ribosomal RNA, 570 nt
Filed under: uncultured Kocuria sp.
Lineage: Bacteria; Bacillati; Actinomycetota; Actinomycetes; Micrococcales; Micrococcaceae
Description: bacterial SSU rRNA
Rfam family: Bacterial small subunit ribosomal RNA
Source: RNAcentral